Molecule: long non-coding RNA, 976 nt
Organism: Peromyscus eremicus (cactus mouse)
Lineage: Eukaryota; Metazoa; Chordata; Mammalia; Rodentia; Cricetidae
Exons: 4
Source: RefSeq, a predicted model, not a curated record
GCUCCCUCAUCUUGGUUACUAUGUGGCCCCAGUGCAAACAGGAUUGUGGCCUUCUCAAGCUUUGAAGGAGGCCUAGUGUGGAACAAUAGGGAGAAGACUGGGCUAGGAUGAAACGUGCUACUUACUGUGACACUUGUGGAGUAGUGAGUGGGAAGAGGAACAGCUGUCCAAUCACAGAGCAAGCACUAAGUAUGUAGUGAUGAAGCAAAGAUUGAUGAAAGAACAAGAGAGGUGAUACAUAAACUGAGUGCCACCUACUACUACUAGGGUCUGUGUCAGGAUCUAAAGAAUAAGCUCCAGGAGACCCAAUAGAAGAAGCAGCCUUCACUGAGGAACACCAGAGAAAACUUUAGGGACCCAAUAGAUCAUCCACCUCCAUUGUUGCAGACAAGUAGACAAAGACUUCUCUCUCUAGGAAAGAUGGGCAGUCAUUGUGGGUCCACUCUUCAUUUGGGAUGAACUGCAUCCUUACCUAUCAAGAUGCUAAUGAUGUCAGACAUAAAUGCACAAGAAGUCCAUGUGAUAACGCUCACCCUGUUUACAUGACCAAAUUCCCAGACUACUCCACUAAAAUGUCAAGCAAACAGAGACCUGGUAACCAGUCUUCAGGAGUCUGAAGCUUUCUAAUCUAGGGAUACAGUCACCUGGGUACUCCAGAGUUGUAAACAACUCAGUGAAUCAUGGACUACAAGGCAACUUUGAGCUAGAAGCUGUCAUUUAAAUAACUCAGAUUGCUCACAUUGCCUUUCUCCACCCUGGUAGAUCCUGUUACUACUUCCAGAUGUUUGCCUACUUUAGCUCAUCUCAAAAUGCCCUUGCUGUACACCUGUGGUUUAGACUGGGUGACAAAGAAAGGUCAUUGAAUAGAAGGAUGUGAAACUUCACAUACUGCUGACUGCAUGGAAAUUUAAAUGUAUAAAUGCCAGGGCACUCUCUGAGAGUGUUUCUCUCCUAAAUAAAUAAUUUGAAACAGUAA